RNAcentral lists this unclassified non-coding RNA (285 nucleotides) under air metagenome. RNAcentral's name for it is "partial contains small subunit ribosomal RNA and internal transcribed spacer 1". The stretch from base 1 to 46 matches the Rfam family "Eukaryotic small subunit ribosomal RNA", at positions 1786 to 1831 of the family's 1831-position model. The record is from RNAcentral.
AAGUCGUAACAAGGUUUCCGUAGGUGAACCUGCGGAAGGAUCAUUAACACGUCUAUUUAACAACUUACACGUGAACCCCUAUCGCUUUGGUCGAAUCCAUUAGCAAUGUAAAUUGAUGAUGGUUUCUUCCAAAGUUCUUUGCUAUCUCUUAAUUGGGAUAGCAGAGGCGGCGGAGAGUUAAGUUCGCUUGACUUUCCGUCGUUGCAGUUCAAUCCAAUUUUAGUAUUAUACUGUGAAUGUCACAACCAAAAUAUAACACUUUCAACAGUGGAUAUCUUGGCUCCC